This 428-nucleotide ribosomal RNA is filed under the name uncultured bacterium. RNAcentral's name for it is "partial 16S ribosomal RNA". It matches the Rfam family "Bacterial small subunit ribosomal RNA", at positions 354 to 796 of the family's 1533-position model. The record is from RNAcentral.
GUAGGGAAUAUUGCGCAAUGGGGGAAACCCUGACGCAGCGACGCCGCGUGAGUGAUGAAGGCCUUCGGGUCGUAAAGCUCUGUUGCAGGGGAAUAAAAAAAUGAAGGUACCCUGUGAGGAAGGAUCGGCUAACUUCGUGCCAGCAGCCGCGGUAAGACGAGGGAUCCUAGCGUUGCUCGGAAUAAUUGGGCGUAAAGAGGGCGUAGGUGGCUUGGUAAGUGAGGUAUGAAAGCCCAGGUCUCAACCCUGGAAGUGCAUUUGAUACUGCUGAGCUUGAGUGUCGGAGAGGUUACCGGAAUACCUGGUGUAGUGGUGAAAUACGUAGAUAUCAGGUGGAACACCGGAGGCGAAGGCGGGUAACUGGACGAACACUGACACUGAGGCCCGAAAGCGUGGGGAUCAAACAGGAUUAGAUACCCCAGUAGUCC